GGCACGGUAGCUAGCAGCACCUUGUCGUCAUGGCGACUCUGGAUGUCUCUGACAGUACCACGUCUCUGGGCCAAGUCUCCCAGCACAGAGCUGAGAUCUAUGGCUUUACCUUGAGCAUGCAGCGGGACACGCAGGCAGAGACCAUGGCCGGAGAUGUUCCUGGCUCCACCCUGACACUUUGGAUCAGUGUAGUUACACCCUGUACUGGCUUUCUCUGCAAAGGUCGAUGAGUCACACGAACCGUCUGCAGAGGACGUGUCCGCAGCAGAGGCCUCAUGAAGGACAGUCUCCCUGUAGGCCACCUGCAGUGGUCCAAGGACAAUUGUGGCCCGCGAGUCAAAACUUUUGCCCACGUCUGGUAAAAUGACUGUACUGCUGUGGUCUUACCUGGCCAGAGUCGGGGUCAAUCCUCACUUUCAAACUGGGAUCUUCUCUCUGGAGGCAAUGAAGUGCAUUCUCGAGAUCUUUUAGAGGAAAAAAAAAACAACAAACUCUUCAGAGGCUGUGAAAGUUCCUGAGGAGAAGAAAGCUGCUGAGAAAAGACCACCA
Long non-coding RNA from Cynoglossus semilaevis (tongue sole), 549 nucleotides. RefSeq lists it as uncharacterized. Lineage: Eukaryota; Metazoa; Chordata; Actinopteri; Pleuronectiformes; Cynoglossidae. The transcript is spliced from 5 exons. The record is from RefSeq and is a predicted model, not a curated record.